RNAcentral lists this ribosomal RNA (253 nucleotides) under uncultured bacterium. Its description in RNAcentral is "partial 16S ribosomal RNA". It matches the Rfam family "Bacterial small subunit ribosomal RNA", at positions 524 to 776 of the family's 1533-position model. The record is from RNAcentral.
UACGUAGGGUGCGAGCGUUGUCCGGAAUUAUUGGGCGUAAAGAGCUCGUAGGCGGCUUGUCACGUCGGUUGUGAAAGCCCGGGGCUUAACCCCGGUUCUGCAGUCGAUACGGGCAGGCUAGAGUUCGGUAGGGGAGAUCGGAAUUCCUGGUGUAGCGGUGAAAUGCGCAGAUAUCAGGAGGAACACCGGUGGCGAAGGCGGAUCUCUGGGCCGAUACUGACGCUGAGGAGCGAAAGCGUGGGGAGCAAACAGG